UUAAGCGACUAAGCGUACACGGUGGAUGCCCUGGCAGUCAGAGGCGAUGAAGGACGUGCUAAUCUGCGAUAAGCGUCGGUAAGGUGAUAUGAACCGUUAUAACCGGCGAUUUCCGAAUGGGGAAACCCAGUGUGUUUCGACACACUAUCAUUAACUGAAUCCAUAGGUUAAUGAGGCGAACCGGGGGAACUGAAACAUCUAAGUACCCCGAGGAAAAGAAAUCAACCGAGAUUCCCCCAGUAGCGGCGAGCGAACGGGGAGCAGCCCAGAGCCUGAAUCAGUGUGUGUGUUAGUGGAAGCGUCUGGAAAGGCGCGCGAUACAGGGUGACAGCCCCGUACACAAAAAUGCACAUGCUGUGAGCUCGAUGAGUAGGGCGGGACACGUGGUAUCCUGUCUGAAUAUGGGGGGACCAUCCUCCAAGGCUAAAUACUCCUGACUGACCGAUAGUGAACCAGUACCGUGAGGGAAAGGCGAAAAGAACCCCGGCGAGGGGAGUGAAAAAGAACCUGAAACCGUGUACGUACAAGCAGUGGGAGCACGCUUAGGCGUGUGACUGCGUACCUUUUGUAUAAUGGGUCAGCGACUUAUAUUCUGUAGCAAGGUUAACCGAAUAGGGGAGCCGAAGGGAAACCGAGUCUUAACUGGGCGUUAAGUUGCAGGGUAUAGACCCGAAACCCGGUGAUCUAGCCAUGGGCAGGUUGAAGGUUGGGUAACACUAACUGGAGGACCGAACCGACUAAUGUUGAAAAAUUAGCGGAUGACUUGUGGCUGGGGGUGAAAGGCCAAUCAAACCGGGAGAUAGCUGGUUCUCCCCGAAAGCUAUUUAGGUAGCGCCUCGUGAAUUCAUCUCCGGGGGUAGAGCACUGUUUCGGCAAGGGGGUCAUCCCGACUUACCAACCCGAUGCAAACUGCGAAUACCGGAGAAUGUUAUCACGGGAGACACACGGCGGGUGCUAACGUCCGUCGUGAAGAGGGAAACAACCCAGACCGCCAGCUAAGGUCCCAAAGUCAUGGUUAAGUGGGAAACGAUGUGGGAAGGCCCAGACAGCCAGGAUGUUGGCUUAGAAGCAGCCAUCAUUUAAAGAAAGCGUAAUAGCUCACUGGUCGAGUCGGCCUGCGCGGAAGAUGUAACGGGGCUAAACCAUGCACCGAAGCUGCGGCAGCGACNGGCAGCGACGCUUAUGCGUUGUUGGGUAGGGGAGCGUUCUGUAAGCCUGUGAAGGUGUGCUGUGAGGUAUGCUGGAGGUAUCAGAAGUGCGAAUGCUGACAUAAGUAACGAUAAAGCGGGUGAAAAGCCCGCUCGCCGGAAGACCNACUAUGUGUUGUUGGGUAGGGGAGCGUUCUGUAAGCCUGUGAAGGUGUACUGUGAGGUAUGCUGGAGGUAUCAGAAGUGCGAAUGCUGACAUAAGUAACGAUAAAGCGGGUGAAAAGCCCGCUCGCCGGAAGACCAAGGGUUCCUGUCCAACGUUAAUCGGGGCAGGGUGAGUCGACCCCUAAGGCGAGGCCGAAAGGCGUAGUCGAUGGGAAACAGGUUAAUAUUCCUGUACUUGGUGUUACUGCGAAGGGGGGACGGAGAAGGCUAUGUUGGCCGGGCGACGGUUGUCCCGGUUUAAGCGUGUAGGCUGGUUUUCCAGGCAAAUCCGGAAAAUCAAGGCUGAGGCGUGAUGACGAGGCACUACGGUGCUGAAGCAACAAAUGCCCUGCUUCCAGGAAAAGCCUCUAAGCAUCAGGUAACAUCAAAUCGUACCCCAAACCGACACAGGUGGUCAGGUAGAGAAUACCAAGGCGCUUGAGAGAACUCGGGUGAAGGAACUAGGCAAAAUGGUGCCGUAACUUCGGGAGAAGGCACGCUGAUAUGUAGGUGAAGUCCCUCGCGGAUGGAGCUGAAAUCAGUCGAAGAUACCAGCUGGCUGCAACUGUUUAUUAAAAACACAGCACUGUGCAAACACGAAAGUGGACGUAUACGGUGUGACGCCUGCCCGGUGCCGGAAGGUUAAUUGAUGGGGUCAGCGCAAGCGAAGCUCUUGAUCGAAGCCCCGGUAAACGGCGGCCGUAACUAUAACGGUCCUAAGGUAGCGAAAUUCCUUGUCGGGUAAGUUCCGACCUGCACGAAUGGCGUAAUGAUGGCCAGGCUGUCUCCACCCGAGACUCAGUGAAAUUGAACUCGCUGUGAAGAUGCAGUGUACCCGCGGCAAGACGGAAAGACCCCGUGAACCUUUACUAUAGCUUGACACUGAACAUUGAGCCUUGAUGUGUAGGAUAGGUGGGAGGCUUUGAAGUGUGGACGCCAGUCUGCAUGGAGCCGACCUUGAAAUACCACCCUUUAAUGUUUGAUGUUCUAACGUUGACCCGUGAUCCGGGUUGCGGACAGUGUCUGGUGGGUAGUUUGACUGGGGCGGUCUCCUCCUAAAGAGUAACGGAGGAGCACGAAGGUUGGCUAAUCCUGGUCGGACAUCAGGAGGUUAGUGCAAUGGCAUAAGCCAGCUUGACUGCGAGCGUGACGGCGCGAGCAGGUGCGAAAGCAGGUCAUAGUGAUCCGGUGGUUCUGAAUGGAAGGGCCAUCGCUCAACGGAUAAAAGGUACUCCGGGGAUAACAGGCUGAUACCGCCCAAGAGUUCAUAUCGACGGCGGUGUUUGGCACCUCGAUGUCGGCUCAUCACAUCCUGGGGCUGAAGUAGGUCCCAAGGGUAUGGCUGUUCGCCAUUUAAAGUGGUACGCGAGCUGGGUUUAGAACGUCGUGAGACAGUUCGGUCCCUAUCUGCCGUGGGCGCUGGAGAACUGAGGGGGGCUGCUCCUAGUACGAGAGGACCGGAGUGGACGCAUCACUGGUGUUCGGGUUGUCAUGCCAAUGGCACUGCCCGGUAGCUAAAUGCGGAAGAGAUAAGUGCUGAAAGCAUCUAAGCACGAAACUUGCCCCGAGAUGAGUUCUCCCUGAC
This 2937-nucleotide ribosomal RNA is filed under the name Escherichia coli. RNAcentral describes it as "bacterial LSU rRNA". It matches the Rfam family "Bacterial large subunit ribosomal RNA". Lineage: Bacteria; Pseudomonadati; Pseudomonadota; Gammaproteobacteria; Enterobacterales; Enterobacteriaceae. The record is from RNAcentral.